UGGACACAGGCAUUGGCAUG
This 20-nucleotide unclassified non-coding RNA is filed under the name Mus musculus (house mouse). RNAcentral's name for it is "oocyte_clustered_small_RNA9972". Lineage: Eukaryota; Metazoa; Chordata; Mammalia; Rodentia; Muridae. The record is from RNAcentral.